Molecule: ribosomal RNA, 253 nt
Filed under: uncultured bacterium
Lineage: Bacteria
Description: partial 16S ribosomal RNA
Rfam family: Bacterial small subunit ribosomal RNA
Source: RNAcentral
UACGUAGGAUGCUAGCGUUGUCCGGAUUUACUGGGCGUAAAGCGCGCGCAGGCGGCACUGUAAGUAAGGUGUGAAACCUCCCUGCUCAACGGGGAGGGUGCACUUUAGACUGCAGAGCUAGAGGACGGUAGAAGGGGGUGGAAUUGCUGGUGUAGCGGUGAAAUGCGUAGAGAUCAGCAGGAACACCCGUGGCGAAGGCGGCCCCCUGGGCCGAACCUGACGCUGAGGCGCGAAGGCUAGGGGAGCGAACGGG